CAACAUGCUAUCUAUUCCCACUUCGAUUGCUGAGUUCCCAUACCUACUGCUCCCCUUUCCAUUCCGUGUGCUUCCAUUCCGACUUCCUCUUUCCCCUUCUUCUCGCCCAAUGCUCUGCGUUUCUCUCAGUCCGAGUUGCUUGUCCGAACCCUAGCUUCGCGCUUCUCCUCGGACGAUUUUUUGCCGCCUGUGACGAUUUCGAUCCGCGACAGCCAUGGAUAGAUCCGCCACUGCCACAGUUCGUCGUUCUUACCCUAUGCUUGCAAGAAUGCCAGAUCGGUCUGUAGUCCCUGUGCUUCAGUGCGCUUGUAGUGGAGCUGCUUUCAAUCGUACAUCCGGCACAGACCGUAAUCCUGGCAGGCGAUUCUACACUUGCUCGAUCUGUAAAAUGUUCAUUUGGGAGGAUUUACUCAACAAGUAUGUUGAAGAGAUGGUUUUUUAUUGCCACUCAGCUACUAUAGACGCGCUGCAGGUUGACCUUGAUACUGCUCGCCAGAUGCUUAGGCAAAAGGAUAUGCAGAUUCAUGCUUUGGAACAGGAAUUGGGCAAUUCUUUCUGCGAUGCUCCUCGCGCAGUUGAAUCCUUUUGAACCUAGGAAGUGGAGCUUUGGGUUCGUGAAGUUUAGUUUGAUUCUCCUGGUAUUAGUUUUUUUUAAAAGCUUUAUCUGGCAGCAUGAAGUGCCUCCAAGCUAGCUGAUGCCUUGUUCAAUGAGUUGCCCUCUUUUGGUCAUUGUAGCUAUUAGGUGAGUUGUGCUAAUUGUAGGUAUUAGGUUAGCUGCUUAGAACAAAGCACUGUUGUUGCUACUGUUCUGUAACCAACAUUAUGUGCUAUUGUACUUGUACUAUUUCUCUUAGCAACUGAUCAGUUAUCACUUAUCACUGCUGUUUUAUGCUUCGC
Long non-coding RNA from Panicum virgatum (switchgrass), 897 nucleotides. RefSeq lists it as uncharacterized. The record is from RefSeq and is a predicted model, not a curated record. The transcript has 3 exons. Lineage: Eukaryota; Viridiplantae; Streptophyta; Magnoliopsida; Poales; Poaceae.